GGGAAGAUGUUGUGGCUAUUUAUUAAACUUUUAUGGCACAAUCCAGAGCACUCACAAUACAAACAGGUGGUACAUUAAGCCAAGUUUUGCAUAAUCGUAAGCCACAGCCAUCUCUAGCUAACUUGUGAGCAACUUCAUUAGCAGUACGUCUAGUUCACUAACUUUGAAUGCCUCAAAAGUUCUUAGCUUACCCUUGAUCUCCUCAAUCAAGUGUCCAUGCAACGACCUAUCCCUUACAUUUGAGUGCAACGACCUAUCUAAGUAGGAUCCUCGGUUUCAGCAUUUCCAUUGUAAUCUCCACUGCACGCCUGCAAGCCAUCAGUUCAGCACACUCGGGAUCUAGGAUAUGGGGGCUUCCUGGCUGGAGCACUACCGAAUCCAUGUAGGCAAUGCGAGCUACUAUCUCACGUAAAGCGAGACAUAGCUACGCCCGCUCUUGUGUGCAUCAUGUUGGGUCCGCAGAGAAGCCGCUAAGACGCUCACAUGUGCGGGGCCCAGUACCGCACCACUGCUCCUCUGCACUUCAGCAAAACAACAAGAAAAAAAAUUAUUGACUUCGUUAGGAAAUGCGGCUAGAAAGAUUUUAAUAUAUUAUUAAUUUUUUUGUUGUGGUAGAGAUCUCUAUAUUGAAAAAGCAUGACUACUAAAUUAUAUUCAUGAAUUUUAACAAAUAUUCAAUAUUUUAUAAAACAUUCAUGUUUUAGAAAAUAUUCAUGAAUUAAACAAGUUCAUGUAUUAGAAAAGGUGAAGGAAAAAACUAGAAAGAAAUAAGGCAAACCGAAAAAAUAGAGAACAAAAAAAUCCAAAAGAAGACCUUGUUAGUUUUCUCAAGCUUGGGUUGCUUGCCUCGGAAUCUAGAAGAAAAUUGGUGGAGGAAAAAUAUAAAUAAAAACCGCAAUAAAAAGGUUGCGGCCACCUGGUGAUAAAGAUUGAAGGCUUAAGCCAUGCACAUAUUUAUUAGACAGAAACUUACUCACAUAAGCCAAGGUGCCUUUGUUGCCGACGUUGUCAACGCUUCGAAUGGUUGCAGAUCGCCGUCGUAUUGUUUAUGCACGUCCUUGAUCUUGUCGAGGCUCCUCGUUCUCUCGGGGAUCUCAAGAACUAGCGCUUUCACGGACAUCACUUCUUCUGUUACCGCAUCGUGAAUUUGGGCUUGAAGAGGUAGUCUGGUAGAUCGAGCGUGGGAAGUAGGCUCUGAUACUACUUGUUAACAAUUUGAGCUUAUGUUCCUCUCAGUUGACCUCAACACACAUUGAUUUCAUAGAAGCCACUAGAGUUUGAGACUUGUUGGUGGAGAAGAACAGUAGAAAGGGGGAGGAUGGCCAUCGCAACACAGUUUGUUAUCAAUCGAUGCCUUCCUCAAUGCGCUAGAUAUAUUAAUAGUUGGUUUAUAUUGCUUGGUGCAACCUCACCACCUUAUCCACAUCCAACCCAUAAGCAUUGUUAGUUUUUGUACCCUCGGUAAUGUACUUGCUGAGUCCAAACGACUCACAGAUACAUCAACAACCCCAAGUGCAGAUGCAGGUGUAGGUUCAGGUAAUUGAGGACAAAUGAUCAAAGUGUUGGACGGGUCCAAAAAGUGUAAUUGAGAACAAUGUAAUUGAGUGACGCUCUCUCUCCCCCUCUUACAUUCGGCCUCCACUUGUUAGCCUACAAAGGAAUACCAUGCCACAUCGGCAGAUAACGUCUUAGACAGUGAGUACUCCAAAUUGAAUGCAUUAGCCAAUUUUUUGCAUCAGUUUUUGGUAUUGGACAACUAGGGACUAAAGUGAAUAUACACGGCAAGUUCAAGCACUGUAUAUAAAUUUACCUCUAGUAUCUCAUAGUAUACGGAAACACACUUCCGUUUCUAAAGAUUGGGCGGACGCAUGACAACUUCAGGCGAUGCUGACUAGACCUAACUAGACUAGACGUGACUUGAUCUCACAGGCAUGGCUCUAACCGAACUGGCCAGACCGAGACAACCGCGAAGGAAGGGCUCAUCCCAUGGUGACAUUUGAACACUUCUUUUAACUUUGAACAUGUAUCCAACGCGAAUGAUCACCGAUGUGUACAAUACUAUGAGUCCGCGAGGAGUGCUCACCUAUAGACUGAGAGCGCUGCGGCGUGAGGAAGGAUGGACGAGGUGAUGCGGAGGUUGGGACCGUGGGUGCUCGGCGACAACAUCAGUUUCUGUCUCUGCCCGUGUCGACGCCUUUACCACCGUGUUGUUCUUAAUCUUGAGGGAGACCUGACGACACACCUCGGCGGGGGUCAGCUUCUCCGCCUCCGGACCUGCACUAGAUACAACGGCUAUUUCUUGAGUUGUUGCUUCUUCUUCUUCGGUUGCUUCUUACCAACGUUGGUGUGAGUCUCCUCCACGGAUCUGGUCACUGUCAUGGAAACCAUCUUAGCAACAAUAGUAUUACACAACAACAACAAUGGCAUGACGAGAACUAGAUCCACUGAGCAGCCUCACACCGACAUGUCAUUGUCUAUGUGGGUUACUAGCAACUAAACAAUAUAUUUCUAUGUAUCUAGCAUGCAUGUCCAGUAGAUGGUUACGAAGAUCAUAUAUGUAUGUGUAUAUGUAUCUAUUUAUCCCGAGCAGACAAAAACAAGGACAAUGAAAACUAUUAAUGGCAUUGUUUAGUGUGAUGCAUUGACGCUUAAUGUGAUGGAUGGAUGUCAGGCAUGAAAAAGAAAAGCAUGCUUAAUGUGUUGGAUGAGUCCAAAAAAGUGUAACUGAGGCAUAGAACUACAUGUGACAAGAACUAGUAGAAAACUACAACAAUACACACAACAAUGAUCAUUACGAAUGGUAUAGUGAGGAGGAGGGCUUGCGUACCAGUGGAGCGAGAGCGUGGCCACCCUAAGGCUGGGACCACCGGUGCCCGAUGGUGACAUCAGAUUUGCCGCCUCUGCCCUCACCACCUUAUGGUUCAUGUACCUUGGUGAGGGCCAGCUUCGGUAUGGGAGAGGGAGUGUGCGCGGGCGUCUCGCGGUGGUUGUAAGAGUGCUUUCUAUGACCUCGUUGGAGCAGCACUGGUGCGUCCAGCCCCGUGAUACCAUUGGUGCUGCAAUUGCCAACGUUGGAUCCCUGGAAAGUGUGCGCGGCAACGUUGUAGAGCAAGUGACUCACGUGCGCAGAGGGUGAGCACAACUGGCCAGCGGGGGAGGAGUGCGACCCAAUGGCUUGAGCUUCUCGAGCAAGGUGCGGGCGAUGCCGUCGGCAUGAGGCAUAGGCGGAGAGUGUGAGGGAGUGUGUGUUGACUCGCGUGCGUGAUCAAAGUGAAAUGGCAGCCAAGGAGUCAAGGAGGAGGGUGCUACAUGAAACAUUGGUCUGAUGAAAGGCUCAUCUCGGUCGAGGCACUCACGAUUGCUGCUCGGGAUGUCACGUCUCCCAACCACUCCAUAUUGAGCGUGGCGUCAAUGGACAUGAACCACAUGAUGAGGUGGCCAAAAUCCCCCUCUCGCCCGAUUUUGCUCUCGGCUUUCUUACUUCUUCCCAUGCCGUGUUAUAUGUGAUCAAGUCAGAAAUUAUUUUUUUGUUUUCUUUCUUUCGGUGUGCAUGUUUAUUUUGGUACGAGACGAACGAUUGGAGCAGGGCCUAUCUGGUACCUGACAGCGUCGUCUGAUCUAUUCUUGUUGUUGGAUUUUGCCAAUCUUUGCCAGUUUGGUUGCCCGCACCAAAUUGGCAAAAUUCAGCAAAGAGGUCAGUUACUCUGUCAGGAACCUAAUAGGCCCUGCUCCAAUCGGCCAACUUGCUGCAAAAAAUGAACGCACAUCAAAGGAAAGGAAACAAAAAGGUAAAUCUGGACUAAUCUCAGAAAACACUACACAGGAAGAACUAAGAACACUGAGAGCAAAACCACGCUAGAGAGGGAUUUUGGCUACCUCGUCAUGUGAUUCAUGUCCAUUGCCGCGAGGCUCGGUAUGGAGUGGCUUGGUGACACGAUAUCACGAACAACAACCGUAAGUGCCUCGACCGAGGAGGAGCCUUGCGUCGGAUCAUCAUCUCUCAUCUAGUAGCCUCCUCUUUGUCUUCUUCGCUGAUGUUUCACUCUAAUCGCAGGUAAGCCAACACAUGCUCCCCUCCCACUCUCCAUCUAGGCCUCGCGCUACCGGCAUCACCCGCACCUCGCUUGAGCAGCACAAGUUGUUGGGUCCGCCCCACACCUGCCAGUGGUGGUGUGCUCACCCUCUGCCUCGUGAGCCACCAUCUCUACAACGUUGCCAUGCACACCUUCCAGGCACCAACGUCGGCAGUUGCGGCGGCAACAACAUCGCAGGCUAGACGCACGCGUACUACUCCAAUGGGUCCAUAGGAAGUGUUGGCGCGGCCACCGCGAGCCGUCCGUGCACACUCCCGCACCCGAAGCAGAGCUAACCCCUCGCCGAGGUGUGCCACCGGUCAUCCCUCAAGUACUAGAACCACAAGGUGGGGAGGGCGGAGGCAGUGAAGCUGAUGCCACCAUGCGGCGCCGGUGCUCCCAGCCUCAGCGCGGUCAUGCUCUCCUCCACAAGUAAUGUAGGCCCUUCCUCCUCGCUAUACCAUCCAUACUCAUCAUUACUACUAUAGACACGACCCACUAGAAAUAUGUGGGCGUGCGCACGAAAAAAGAAAAGGACAAAAACAAGUAUGCAUGUUUUAGGGAAAAAAUAAGUACUACAUUGACAUCUCUAGUGAUAAGGUGCUCGAAUAUGGAAGUGCCUAAGAGCAAACGUGAACCAUUAUUCUUGAUUAAAGCCUGAGUCACUGCAAGAAAGUAAUGUUUAUGAUUGAAACCUUCUUUUAGAGUAUGUCCGUGGUUCUAAACGCUUGAUAUUAUGUGACACUAACACUGUUUACAUAUAAAGGGAAAACACAUUUCACUUCCAUAAAAAUAAUGGUGUGCAUUUGGGGUAUCUCAUGUGCUCCGGCGAAAGGUAGUGAUGUGAAUGCAAGCUUGGCUUUAUAAGCUAGAGAAGAACCAUACUUUUCGUUAUGAAUAUGUCAAACAAGUAUGGUAUGAUACUACAUGUAAGGGUUAAUUUCGUGACUUAGUGGAGAAUAAGACACAAGCACAACAACCUCUCAAUUGAUUAGAUCCAUAUAAAUAUCUACCAAAAAAUAUUUGUAAGCAAAGGCACAAUAGUACAAGAAAAGUUAGCCGGCUUUAGGAGAUACCAACAAUCACACCUCUCAUUUUGCCAAACAAAAUAGUUUGUCAUUUUGCUAAGAGAAUUUGAUGGCUUCAUAAUGCACCGAAUAGAUAAGUGUGUUUGUGUGUGUGCGUGUGCAUGUGCGUAAUGCAUUAGAGCUUUUUUCCAUGAGAAUUUAAUGGUUUAUUGCACUGCUAGGGUGAAACAUUCAUUACUAAUACAGUCUGGUAGAACAAUUUUAUCUUUUCCAAAGUGUCCAAGCUAGCCUAGUAAAAUGGUGUUUCUUUUUUCUAGUUAAAGUCUCACUUGGAUAGCCAAGGUUUCGUUGUAUCAGAUCAAAAAACUAACAUGUAAGAUUAUGUGAGAUAACUAAACAUGAUAAACUUCACUUUACGCAUUUAUUUUUGUUAGAGAUUAUAAAAGUGUAACUCAACUAAAAAGUAAUUGAAUAAAUAAAGAAAGGAAAAUGGUGAUAAAUAAGAUAAAGCGAACAUAUCUGAGGUUCCAUUUCUUUUGAUGUUAGCCACACUAUAUCUUGUUCUUCAACAGGUGUGAUCACCUAAAACAAAAAAACAUGCCAUUGCUUUUCUCCAAUGCCUCUCUCUCUGAGGGCAAAGAUGUUUCAGUUUCUUUCAAUGUGUCUAGACAAAUAACAAAAAUAUUUUUUAGAUAAAAAUUAGGAUCUAAAAAAGAACAAGAGAACAUACAAACUUUAGCCUCAAUCGUACACGAAGACAAUAUGCAAUGAUUUAUAAGGAUGAAUAAGACUGUUAUAAAAUAUAUGAAUCGUACGACAAUAACUAUUUUGGUUGGAUCGUGAAAAAAUCUUCUACAAAGAUGAGAGAAAAUCAUUUGUCAACAUUAUUUGUAGAUAGUGGAAGAAGUUUGAGUCAAAUAUGGUAGACCAAAUAGAGAAAUUGUGACAACUACUCUUGAUAGAUCGUGAACAAACAGUUUGAUAAAAUAAGACAAGAUAAACAUGGGUUGUAUGUAAAUCUUGUAUAAGAGCUUGAUUAAAUCUAGGUGGAUUUUAAAGUGGGCUUUAAAUAAAGUUGCAAUGGAUCAUUCUAAGAGACCUUGACAAAUUGAAUGGAACAUGUAGAGCUUGACUAAAUCUAGGUGGAUUUUAAAGUGGGCUUUAAAUAAAGUUGCAAUGGAUCAUUCUAAGAGACCUUGACAAAUUGAAUGGAACAUGUAGGGGUUUUUAUAUGGUAGAUCAUAAAAGAAGUGAGCUAUUGAAUCGUGGUGGAUCAGGAAGAUGAUUUUUUAUAGCGAUAACAAGAAUGGACAUGGGAUAUAUCUAGAGGUAUUGAAAGAAGUAUGUCAUCGAAAUCGUCAUUGUAAGAGUAAUGAUUUUGACCCCAAAAAGUAAUGUGAGUUGAAAACUUCAAGAUACUUCAAAACUUUUAUCCAGAGUAGCAACAAAAACUAUAUAAGAAUUUUCUGAAAAUAUGAUAACAAAUUCAGAUAUAAGGAAGUAAUGAAAUACAUAGUAUAGGUUAGAAAUUUUCUAUGAGGACAUCGAACAUAAGAAUGGACCUUGAGAUGUAAAAUAAUGCAUGAUGGAUCUUCAAGACCACACAUAGAUCUUGAAGCAGAGUGAAGGUACCGUUGAAAGUACAAAUCUCACUAGAGGCAAAGCUUUGAGAUAGAUCAUGCAAAGGAAAAGUGCAUAUGUCACUAGAAACAAUGUUCUAAGACUUCACAGUUUCAAAUUAAAGAUGUCACUAAUGAUGCUUUGACAUGGAUCGGGAAGUAGAAUUAAGUAUAUAUCUUACAUCAACACUAGUAGCGAUCUUUCAAAUGGGUUAAUUGUAAAAUCUCCUAUUUUACAUCUCGCUAUAAUAGGUAGUUGGUGAAGGAUCAUGAAGUAGAACAUAAAAAUAGAUCUCACCAAAGUACCAAUAUCAAUUCUCUAGACAGAUAACGAGAUAGGCCUCGAAGUAAAGAUCUCUCUAUGAGCGAUGCUUCCAGCUAGAUUGCCGCGCUCAUAGGAGAAAAUGGGUAUCAACGUGGAUAGAUCCCGAGAUACUAAAAGAAGAAUGAUUUUGAAAAAAAAUAGUAAAGCAAGUUGGAACAAACCUCGAAAACUCUGGAUAAAUUUUAUCUGCAAUAGAGAUAAAUUAGAGAUAAGCGUUUUAAGAAAUAUAUCAUAAUAGAUCUAGAUAUAAGGAAUUAAGGAACUACAAUAUGACCUAUCAAUAUUUCGAGCACAUAAAACAUAGAAGUGGAUCUCAAGAUGAAAAAUAAUGCAAAAUUACCAUAAAUAAUGAUCCAUAGAUCCCCAAGUAAGAGGGGAAGGUAUCGCUCAAAGUAUAGAUAUCACGGUAGUGAUGCUUUCAGAAGAUCAUGGCGGAGAGUAAAGUACGGAUAUCACCAAAAACAAAGCUAUAAGACUUCCGGAGUCAAGAGUAAAUCUCUCGUGGGCGAUGCUUUGACAUGGAUCUUGAAGUAGGAUGAAGUGUAGAUCUUAUGUGAACACCAGUAGCGGUCUUCCAAAUAGAUCGAGAGGUAGAACUCAAAUUUUAUAUCUCACUACAAGCGAUAGUUUGAGAUGGAACAUGGAGUAGAACAAGAAAUUGAUCUUGUGGGGAAACUAGCAUCGAUACUACAAAUUGAAUGAAUAGGUAGGUGUGGAAGUAUAGAUCUCAAUGUGAGCGAUGCUCUGACGUGUGCCAUCAUGGUCGAAGAAGAAGCUGGAGAAUGCUUGAAGAUAGACCCAAAGAACCUGUAUUUUUUGGAAUGAAGGCUCGUGAAGAGCCCGACUUUGAAUUAAUACAAAGCCAUCAACCGGCCAUGAGUUACAUCAUACGACCCAGAGAAUGAUGACCAAACUGAUACAAAGGGGGACGCUGGGAAGAAACCAAAACUAUGGCCUACACAAGCUAACUUAAGAAAGGAAAAUGAAGAUUACAACUUGCUAGAGGCAGAGUACUCCACACUAGUAUCCUACAAAUGAAGGACAGAGCAGCAGGGCAUGACAAAGCUGGCUGUCAAAAAUGGACAUUGCUCUAGGAGCACCUAGGGAAGGAGGGCAAACAACACCUUCCUUCUCUAUCACCGAAGAGGGACCCAACCCCCUCGCCAUGGCUCGUAGGUGUCGUACCGUCGAGAUUCAGAGAAACUCACCCGAGAACUAGAAGGAUGUCACCCUCACAUCGAAUGGUGGACCUUGGGAGACCACCUCGAUUUGGGAUAAGCCAUGCCGGCAGCAUCACCACUAACCGCGCCCAACUAGUUGGAGAAGGAAUGCUUAAUGGAGUCGGACGCCAAAGAGGAGGCAGCAGGGAACCGAGCAAAAAUGCGAGAGGCAAGGCAGCAAAGCACCACCGUUAAGAAGACCCAGGUCUCUUCAGUUUACAUGAAGCCACAGCCGUUGGGAAGGGGAACCCUAUCCCCUACCGUCAGGAUCGAGAUGCCACAUCGCCAGGACCGAGAGGUAUCCACCACCACCAGAGAGCACCAACCAGAAGAGACGACGGUGCCUACAUUCCACACCGCAUCCACACAAGCUCGAGACACAAGCAACCUGAAUCCCGCGCCUGCACAUCCUCCCAUCCGAGCCCCUACACCCACAACGAUGACUUUAAGAAGGUCACGACGCGCGAGGCGCCACCGCCGCCAAAUCCAUAGGGGAUUGUGGGUUUUCACCCUGGCAGGAGGUCGGGGUCGAGAGUUGGGACCUCAGCAGCGCCCCCAUGGAAGAAAGCAGCGCCCUUGGGCGUCGCCCCCGCCGGGCCAGCCAAGUCGGACAGGGUUUCCCCUGGGCCCCAAGCUACUCCACCAUGCUCACCAACACCUAAGCCAACGAGCGAAUCGCAGUCCAUGGCAUAUAGAGCGAGAGAGGCAAUAGGGAGGCGGGAUCUCGUACCUUCAGAUCUGACGCAUAUGAGAUAUGCGCCGCGACAGAAACUCUACCAGCGGCACGCCACCCUCACGACCGAGCAUGCUGGCUAGCAGACCGCCUGCAAACGCCGACGGUCGCACGGCGCCGCCGCCAACCUAGGUACCAAUGGCCUCCGAGAGGGACAAAGCGCCGCAGUCCCCGCUGCCACCUUCACCGACGCCCGCGCUGGCUGUCCUGGCGGCCGUCUCUGGUGGCAGCGAGGAGGGAGGAGAGGAUUGGAGGGGCGGCGGCGGCGGCGGAACCCUAGUCGCCCCCGAGUCGCCCG
Molecule: long non-coding RNA, 9296 nt
Filed under: Triticum aestivum (bread wheat)
Lineage: Eukaryota; Viridiplantae; Streptophyta; Magnoliopsida; Poales; Poaceae
Description: long non-coding RNA (TAES_LNC026514)
Source: RNAcentral